CCUACGGGUGGCAGCAGUGGGGGAUAUUGCACAAUGGGGGAAACCCUGAUGCAGCGACGCCGCGUGGGCGAAGAAGUAUCUCGGUAUGUUAAGCCCUAUCAGUAGGGAAGAAGAAAUGACGGUACCUGAGUAAGAAGCACUGGCUAAAUACGUGCCAGCAGCCGCGGUCAUACGUAGGGUGCAAGCGUUAUCCGGAUUUACUGGGUGUAAAGGGAGCGGAGGCGGGACGGCAAGCCUGAUGUGAAAGCCCGCGGCCCAACCGCGGGAUUGCAAUGGGUACUACCGGGCUGGAGUGUCGGAGAGGUAGGCGGAAUUCGUGGUGUAGCGGUGAAAUGCGUAGAUAUUAGGAGGAACUCCGGUGGCGAAGGCAGCCUACUGGACGGUGACUGACGCUGAGGCUCGAAAGCGUGGGGAGCAAACAGGAUUAGAUACCCCAGUAGUC
Molecule: ribosomal RNA, 442 nt
Filed under: uncultured bacterium
Lineage: Bacteria
Description: partial 16S ribosomal RNA
Rfam family: Bacterial small subunit ribosomal RNA
Source: RNAcentral